UUGGACCCCGCAUGCGGGAUCCGUUAUCAGGAGAAGCCAAAUGGCCCUCAGCGUUGAAGAAAAAGCUCAGAUCGUUGCCGAAUACCAGCAAGCCGCC
This is a non-coding RNA of Pseudomonas putida S11, 97 nucleotides long. NCBI's taxonomy places the organism in Bacteria, Pseudomonadati, Pseudomonadota, Gammaproteobacteria, Pseudomonadales, Pseudomonadaceae. The record is from Rfam.